UGAGACCUUGUCUCACAAAAUAAAAGUUAAAAAGCCCUUAUCUGGAGGUGAGAAAGCCAAAUACAAAGGUCUUCUCAGUUGGUUCCCAGUCUUCCCAGUCCAGCAGCCUCAGCAUCACCAGGGAGCUGGUUAGGCAAAUUCUCGGCCGCCCCAACCUACUGAAUUGGAGACCCUGAAGAUGGGGCUAUCUGAAUUUUAACAAGGCCUCCAGGUUUGCAUGCUCAAGAUUGAGAACCACUGGCAAAAGCAAACAAUUUGAAUCUGAAGUCAGCCCACCUGCAUUUGAAUACAGGCCCUGCCACUUAAUAACUGUGAUUUAGAGCAAGUUAGUUACUUAACAGCUAGGUUGACCAAUUGUCCGAGUUUGCCUGGCACUGUCCUGAUUUCAGCACUGAAAGUACUACAUUAUCGCUGUGGCUCACGCCUAUAAUCCCAGCUUCUCAAGCUGUCCCUGUGGAAUCCUCAAUAUCGGUACAUUCAUCCCUAUCUAGCAUCCCCUUCCUCCCUCACCCAUCCUGCACCCUCAGAAUUCAUUCUCAGAUCACCUUCCCAGAUUUUUGCCAAUAUCAAUUAAAAAAAUUUUUUAGCCAACCAUGUACUGUGAGUAAGCCAAUAUCAAUUAGCAAAAUCUUUAAGUUUCUUUUGGUGAUUCAGUAUCUUCCCCCUGGAGUUUUUUGAUGAUUCAGUACCCUCCUAGAUUUGGCCCCUGGGGCCUGCGGGGAUGUGACUUGUCAUUUAAUUCUGGAGAAAAUGAGGGGUAGGGCUUAUAAGGAGACUCCUUCGGGGCAGGGUCAUUACAGGGUGUGUUACAUAGGGAAAUGCUAGCUGCUGGCUAGCUCUCGCUCUUGAAAGGCUCUUCCUCCCUCAACUGAAAUGGGGAAGGGGGAACCCCGGCCGACUGAGGUCCUGACAUCUUUAGCACAUGGCUUCUUAGGUCACCCAGGGCAUCCAGGUUACCAGCUUGGGAAACAGGAGAUGUAGGUUGGAGGAAGAGGCUACAGCCCACCCUGGAAAUAACUGCCAUCCGUCCCACCCAUAUGGUUAGGCUUUGUGUCCCCACCCAGAUCUCAUCUCGAAUUACAAUCCCCACGGGUUGAGGGAUGGACCAGGUGGAGG
Molecule: long non-coding RNA, 1116 nt
Filed under: Homo sapiens (human)
Lineage: Eukaryota; Metazoa; Chordata; Mammalia; Primates; Hominidae
Description: HSALNT0232929
Source: RNAcentral